Molecule: transfer RNA, 65 nt
Filed under: Trypetoptera punctulata
Lineage: Eukaryota; Metazoa; Arthropoda; Insecta; Diptera; Sciomyzidae
Description: tRNA-Pro
Source: RNAcentral
CAAGAUGUAGUUUAAUAAAAAUAUUAAUUUUGGAGAUUAAAGUUAGAAAUUUGUUCUUUUCUUGA